Molecule: ribosomal RNA, 1409 nt
Filed under: uncultured Bacillota bacterium
Lineage: Bacteria; Bacillati; Bacillota
Description: bacterial SSU rRNA
Rfam family: Bacterial small subunit ribosomal RNA
Source: RNAcentral
AAAUGGAAAAUGGAAGAGGAAAGAAUUUAUUCAAGAAUCUGAAGAAAGAAAUUUAGCAAAUAGUUUUAGUGGCGGACUGGUGAGUAACACGCAAGCAACCAACCUAUUAGAGGGGAAUAACAUUGAGAAAUCAAUGCUAAUACCGCAUAAGCUGACAGAAUCGCAUGAUUAAGUCAGAAAAGGAGGAAUUCGCUAAUAGAUGGGCUUACGGCUGAUUAGCUAGUUGGUGGGGUAGAAGCCUACCAAGGCAACGAUCAGUAGCCGGACUGAGAGGUUGAACGGCCACAUUGGGACUGAGAUACGGCCCAGACUCCUACGGGAGGCAGCAGUCGGGAAUAUUGCGCAAUGGAGGGAACUCUGACGCAGUGACGCCGCGUAUAGGAAGAAGGUAUUCGUAUUGUAAACUAUUGUCGUUAGGGAAGAAAAGGACAGUACCUAAGGAGGAAGCUCCGGCUAACUAUGUGCCAGCAGCCGCGGUAAUACAUAGGGAGCGAGCGUUAUCCGGAAUUAUUGGGUGUAAAGGGUGCGUAGACGGGAGAGAAAGUUAGUUGUGAAAGCCCUCGGCUUAACUGAGGAACGGCAACUAAAACUACUCAUCUUGAGUACGAGAGAGGAAAGUGGAAUUUCUAGUGUAGCGGUGAAAUGCGUAGAUAUUAGGAGGAACACCAGUGGCGAAGGCGACUUUCUGGCUCGAAACUGACGUUGAGGCACGAAAGUGUGGGGAGCAAACAGGAUUAGAUACCCUGGUAGUCCACACUGUAAACGAUGGAUACAAGGUGUAGGAGGUAUUAAGCCUUUUGUGCCGACGCAAACGCAGUAAGUAUCCCACCUGGGGAGUACGACCGCAAGGUUGAAACUCAAAGGAAUUGACGGGGGCCCGCACAAGCAGUGGAGUAUGUGGUUUAAUUCGAAGUAACGCGAAGAACCUUACCAGGGCUUGACAUGCAUAUGAAUACUUAAGAGAUUAAGUAGCUUUUCGGAGCAUAUGCACAGGUGGUGCAUGGUUGUCGUCAGCUCGUGUCGUGAGAUGUUGGGUUAAGUCCCGCAACGAGCGCAACCCCUGUGAUUAGUUGCUAACGCGUGAAGGCGAGAACUCUAAUCAGACUGCCGUAGAUAACACGGAGGAAGGUGGGGAUGACGUCAAAUCAUCAUGCCCUAUAUGCCCUGGGCUACACACGUACUACAAUGGUAGCAACAGAGAGAGGCGAAGCAGAGAUGCGGAGCAAAACUUAAAAAAGCUAUCACAGUUCGGAUUGCAGGCUGAAAUUCGCCUGCAUGAAGCUGGAAUUGCUAGUAAUGGCAGGUCAGCAUACUGCCGUGAAUACGUUCCCGGGCCUUGUACACACCGCCCGUCACACCAUGAGAGUUGGAGAUACCCGAAGCCUGUGAGCUGACAAAUGAGGCAGCAG